Molecule: unclassified non-coding RNA, 129 nt
Organism: Bison bison bison
Lineage: Eukaryota; Metazoa; Chordata; Mammalia; Artiodactyla; Bovidae
Source: Ensembl
UGGCCGUUAAAGAACAGAAACAGAGCAGUAAGACUGCGUGGCUACAUUUUCCCAGUGCCACCAACUGAGAGUUAAGCUGACUAACGUGUUGAAAGCCCAGCCCAUUUCGUUCACAGCAGGCACGGCAGG